Molecule: long non-coding RNA, 1477 nt
Filed under: Pelobates cultripes (western spadefoot toad)
Lineage: Eukaryota; Metazoa; Chordata; Amphibia; Anura; Pelobatidae
Source: RNAcentral
GGUUUAUAUCUAAUGUAGUGUAUUUGAUUCCACAUUAUUAGGACAGGCUCAGACAACGCUGGCUUUAUAUCUAAUGUAGUGUAUUUGAUUGCACAUUAUUAGGACAGGCUCAGACAUUGCUGGGUUUAUAUCUAAUGUAGGGGAUCUGACUGUAUGUUAUCAGGACAGGCUCAGACAUUGCUGGGUUUAUAUCUAAUGUAGGGGAUCUGACUGUAUGUUAUCAGGACAGGCUCAGACAUUGCUGGGUUUAUAUCUAAUGUAGGGGAUCUGACUGUAUGUUAUCAGGACAGGCUCAGACAUUGCUGGGUUUAUAUCUAUUGUAGGAGAUCUGACUGUAUGUUAUCAGGACAGGCUCAGACAGCGCUGGGUUUAUCAGGACAGGCUCAGACAGCGCUAGGUUUAUAUCUAAUGUAGGGGAUCUGACUGUAUGUUAUCAGGACAGGCUCAGACAUUGCUGGGUUUAUGACUAAUAGGGAAUCUGACUGUAUGUUAUCAGGACAGGCUCAGACAGCGCUGGGUUUAUAUCUAAUGUAGGGGAUCUGACUGUAUGUUAUCAGGACAGGCUCAGACAUUGCUGGGUUUGUAUCUAAUGUAGGGGAUCUGACUGUAUGUUAUCAGGACAGGCUCAGACAUUGCUGGGUUUAUAUCUAAUGUAGGGAAUCUGACUGUAUGUUAUCAGGACAGGCUCAGACAGUGCUGGGUUUAUAUCUAAUGUAGGGGAUCUGACUGUAUGUUAUCAGGACAGGCUCAGACAGCGCUGGGUUUAUAUCUAAUGUAGGGGAUCUGAUUGCACAUUAUUAGGACAGGCUCAGACAGCGCUGGGUUUAUAUCUAAUGUAGGGGAUCUGACUGCACGUUAUCAGGACAGGAUCAGACAUUGCUGGGUUUAUAUCUAUUGUAGGAGAUCUGACUGUAUGUUAUCAGGACAGGCUCAGACAGCGCUGGGUUUAGAUCUAAUGUAGGGGAUCUAACUGCAUGUUAUCAGGACAGGCUCAGACAUUGCAAGGUUUGUAUCUAAUGCAGGGCAUCUGGCUGCACAUUAUCAGGACAGGCUCAGACACAGAGCAGAGUUUAUUUCUAGCGUAAAAUUACCUCCUUUCCAAGACAGACAAUUUAUGUCAGAGUGAACUACUAAAUCCAUUUGAAUAUGCAUGUUCAUAUCCAAAUCUACCUCUCUCUGUGUGUGGUAUCAGCUACAUAAUCUCCUGGCCAUUAAAGGGUUUCUGCAGGUGGAAAUAAACUUCCCUAAAUGCAGGAGAGAGGAGGCAGUAAGAAGAGGAAGCAAUGACCCAACCACCUACUGUGAGGGACUAUUUUAGGGAUCCAAAAAGGGGAAGGUAGUCAUUCUGUUAUUCUCUAUAUGGGUAUAUAAAGGUGGGGCACGCAAACAUGAAAAGAGGAACGGCUUUAUCCCCCUGCCCCCUACCUAAGUGUAGUAAAGGUGCUUUAUUUAAUAAAACCCAAGUUCCCAAUUUUAU